GACGAACGCUGGCGGCGUGCUUAACACAUGCAAGUCGAGCGGUAAGGCUCCUUCGGGAGUACACGAGCGGCGAACGGGUGAGUAACACGUGAGUAAUCUGCCCUUCACUUCGGGAUAACCACCGGAAACGGUGGCUAAUACCGAAUACGACCAGUCUUCGCAUGAGGUGCUGGUGGAAAGUCUUUUCGGUGAAGGAUGUGCUCGCGGCCUAUCAGCUUGUUGGUGGGGUAAUGGCCUACCAAGGCUUCGACUGGUAGCCGGCCUGAGAGGGUGACCGGCCACACUGGGACUGAGACACGGCCCAGACUCCUACGGGAGGCAGCAGUGGGGAAUAUUGGACAAUGGGCGAAAGCCUGAUCCAGCAACGCCGCGUGAGGGAUGACGGCCUUCGGGUUGUAAACCUCUUUCAGUACCGACGAAGCGCCCUGUCGGGUGGUGACGGUAGGUACAGAAGAAGGACCGGCCAACUACGUG
Molecule: ribosomal RNA, 474 nt
Filed under: uncultured bacterium
Lineage: Bacteria
Description: partial 16S ribosomal RNA
Rfam family: Bacterial small subunit ribosomal RNA
Source: RNAcentral